Non-coding RNA from Ictidomys tridecemlineatus (thirteen-lined ground squirrel), 1390 nucleotides. Lineage: Eukaryota; Metazoa; Chordata; Mammalia; Rodentia; Sciuridae. The record is from RefSeq and is a predicted model, not a curated record.
AGCACGCAGGGCCCAAUCCCCAGGGCCUGGGCCACCAGCGCUGGGACCAGCAAACACCAUCAGGACCUGGAACCUCGGGGACUCCAGUCUGGUGCACACCUCUAAGCAAAACCAUUUGUUUUGUGGGUUCAGAAAACUACAAGCAAAGAAGGGUCCAUCCCUGGCUGUGUGGAUGCUGAGCUCACUUAACAGGACACCUGCUAACUGUGAUCCUGUUUUCCUCUAAAACGAGCUGCUAAUUUCCUAAAGGAGUUUCUGAAACACUGCAGAGGAUUUUAUGAAAGAAAGAAGAGCCUGAGAGAGACCAAACGAAGCAGGAGGGGCCAAAGAUUCUCCAGACGGAACAAGAGGAAGCCUCAGAGUGCAGAUGCAGCCUGACGCAGAGAUGGGAGGCCUCUCCAGGGCGUGUGAGAGUGGGAGAACCUGGGCGACCUCCAAGAGGGGCCCAGCAAGCCGCUGGAGCAGGGGCACUGGAUUGUGGCAUCCAGGAGGUGGGCCUAGGCAGCCUUCCAGAGCCACUGCACACACCUGAGAAGCUGCCCGGAGGAGGCAGGCCUCCGACAACCCCCAGGUUCCCAAAGACGGGAGGGGUUUCAGAACGCAGAACAAGAGGCGGAAAGCGGCAGCCCAGGAAGACACACCUGAAGAGGCCUGCGCCUAGGGUCACCCACCAACAACGGCGCCCAGACAGCUUUCCAGAGGCACACCUGUAAGAGCUGGUUUUAUUUAGGUCUUACCGUGUGCCAGACACUGUUCCAAGCACUGGGCAGUACUUUCCUUGGGACGGACAAGGGAGGAGCAGGAUCCUCCUUAGGUAUCUGCUCUCAGGACUAGAAUCUUGCUGAUCUGGGACAAUCCCUCUCGGUGUCUGGCUUAUGUCUUGAGACAAAAGGUGACAGUUCCCAAGGCCAGGAAUGUCUGAGAGCUGGGCAAAAACCCUGCUUUGGAGUGCAGGGAAGGAUGGAGCCUUGGGGCCAAUGGUAAGGGGCAGAGGGGCAGUGCUCCUGUCUAACCCUUGCUCCCAGAGGGAGGGCCACAGGGGGCUCCUCAGACCAGCCACCUUUCCCAAGUCCCCUCCUGGUCCAGAGGCGCGAGGCCCACCAAGAUCAGCACUGCUUCCGUCACAGUUGCUCAUGGUGACAGGAAUCCUCUGUGACGAUUGGCAACACUCUCACGUUCCUAGACACAGAUACAGACAUAUCACAGGCAUAAAACCUGACACCCAUUCCUUUCCAUGGGCCACCAAGUGACUGCUGAGUGUCAGAAUUGCCAAGAGUUUCUAUUAAAACUGUACUGACGUCACUGAUUUUUUUAAAAAAUGAAAAUUUUAGUGAUAUUAAAUAUUUUGAUGUUGAUUGUUGAAAUGUAUUAAUUAAAAUGUGUAUUUUUA